CCUACGGGAGGCUGCAGUGAGGAAUAUUGGUCAAUGGGCGCAAGCCUGAACCAGCCAAGUCGCGUGAGGGAUGACGGUCCUAUGGAUUGUAAACCUCUUUUGUCGGGGAGCAAGGCCCGCCACGUGUGGCGGGAAGGAGAGUACCCGAAGAAAAAGCAUCGGCUAACUCCGUGCCAGCAGCCGCGGUAAUACGGAGGAUGCGAGCGUUAUCCGGAUUUAUGGGGGUAAAAGGGUGCGUAGGCGGAAGGUUAAGUCAGUGGUAAAAGGGCGGUGCUCAACACCGGCCUGCCGUUGAAACUGGUCAUCUUGAGUGAGCGAGAAGUAAGCGGAAUGCGUGGUGUAGCGGUGAAAUGCGUAGAUAUCACGCAGAACUCCGAUGGCGAAGGCAGCAUACCGGCGCGCAACUGACGCUGAGGCACGAAAGCGUGGGGAUCGAACAGGAUUAGAUACCCGAGUAGUC
RNAcentral lists this ribosomal RNA (460 nucleotides) under uncultured bacterium. RNAcentral describes it as "partial 16S ribosomal RNA". It matches the Rfam family "Bacterial small subunit ribosomal RNA", at positions 338 to 795 of the family's 1533-position model. The record is from RNAcentral.